RNAcentral lists this ribosomal RNA (462 nucleotides) under uncultured bacterium. Its description in RNAcentral is "partial 16S ribosomal RNA". It matches the Rfam family "Bacterial small subunit ribosomal RNA", at positions 28 to 507 of the family's 1533-position model. The record is from RNAcentral.
GACGAACGCUGGCGGCGUGCUUAACACAUGCAAGUCGAGCGGUAAGGCCUUUCGGGGUACACGAGCGUCGAACGGGUGAGUAACACGUGGGUGAUCGGCCCUGCACUUCGGGAUAAGCCUGGGAAACUGGGUCUAAUACCGGAUAUGACCUCCUAUCGCAUGGUGGGUGGUGGAAAGAUUUAUCGGUGCAGGAUGGGCCCGCGGCCUAUCAGCUUGUUGGUGGGGUAAUGGCCUACCAAGGCGACGACGGGUAGCCGACCUGAGAGGGUGACCGGCCACACUGGGACUGAGACACGGCCCAGACUCCUACGGGAGGCAGCAGUGGGGAAUAUUGCACAAUGGGCGAAAGCCUGAUGCAGCGACGCCGCGUGAGGGAUGACGGCCUUCGGGUUGUAAACCUCUUUCAGCAGGGACGAAGCGAAAGUGACGGUACCUGCAGAAGAAGCACCGGCUAACUACGUG